RNAcentral lists this transfer RNA (72 nucleotides) under Marmota monax (woodchuck). Its description in RNAcentral is "tRNA.Ala". Lineage: Eukaryota; Metazoa; Chordata; Mammalia; Rodentia; Sciuridae. The record is from RNAcentral.
GGGGUUGUGACUCAGUGGUAGAGAGCUUAUUUAGCACAUGUGAGGCACUGGGUUUGAUCCUCAGCACCACCU